CGGACAGUACUUUGUGAGAUGAGGCACUGACUAUACAGUAAGUUCUCUAUAUUGAUGAUGCAUCAUUCUAGAAUCUGAGGUCUGCACACCGUCCUUCUCAACAAAAGUUGUGUAACAAGUACACUAGAUGCAGCGCCGUUAAACCAACAUCAAGACAGAAACAACAGGAACUCUGAUGUCGAAGAGCUCUCUGUAACUCUGAGAGGAAUUUACAAUAGAGCUAUAUCCAUCAAUGUUUGCCCAAGAAAUGCACCAGGAAGUGGGACGUAGACCAGUGCUACCACCAAGACAAGAGUAGCGGGUUGUUUGUGGGGCCCGAAAUGCAAACACGGUAAUGAUUCCUGCACCAGCAGUAACGUCCGAAUUAACUCCAGUACCGUCAGCUGGACUUUUGAAAGUACCACGGUCUUGGAAUCUCAUGAACAGAGACGUAAUGACAACAAGCAUCCAUAUGUGUAACUUCUGUGGGCUGUAGGUAAGGCUCAUCAUGUAACCGUACAUCAGUGUUGCGUAACCGGUGUGAUGCUAUUAAUUAUACAUUAGCACGUUAUU
This is a long non-coding RNA of Cryptotermes secundus, 552 nucleotides long. RefSeq lists it as uncharacterized. The transcript has 3 exons. The record is from RefSeq and is a predicted model, not a curated record. Lineage: Eukaryota; Metazoa; Arthropoda; Insecta; Blattodea; Kalotermitidae.